This 188-nucleotide unclassified non-coding RNA is filed under the name uncultured fungus. Its description in RNAcentral is "sequence contains ITS1". The record is from RNAcentral. Lineage: Eukaryota; Fungi.
UUGAUUCAUUUAUCGUGUUACUCAGAAUAUGCCACUAUAAUGCAAGAGUUUGGGUCCUCCGGCGGGCGCCUGGUUCCGGGCCGCGAGGGCGCCGGGGCGGUCCCGCCGAAGCAACGUUCGGGUAUGUUCACAGGGGUUUGGGAGUUGAUAACUCGGUAAUGAUCCCUCCGCUGGUUCACCAACGGAGA